AGUGAACGCUGGCGGUAGGCCUAACACAUGCAAGUCGAACGGCAGCACAGUAAGAGCUUGCUCUUACGGGUGGCGAGUGGCGGACGAGUGAGGAAUACAUCGGAAUCUACUUUUUCGUGGGGGAUAACGUAGGGAAACUUACGCUAAUACCGCAUACGACCUACGGAUGAAAGCAGGGGAUCUUCGGACCUUGCGCGAUUGAAUGAGCCGAUGUCGGAUUAGCUAGUUGGCGGGGUAAAGGCCCACCAAGGCGACGAUCCGUAGCUGGUCUGAGAGGAUGAUCAGCCACACUGGAACUGAGACACGGUCCAGACUCCUACGGGAGGCAGCAGUGGGGAAUAUUGGACAAUGGGCGCAAGCCUGAUCCAGCCAUACCGCGUGGGUGAAGAAGGCCUUCGGGUUGUAAAGCCCUUUUGUUGGGAAAGAAAAGCAGCAGGUUAAUACCCCGCUGUUCUGACGGUACCCAAAGAAUAAGCACCGGCUAACUUCGUG
RNAcentral lists this ribosomal RNA (492 nucleotides) under uncultured bacterium. RNAcentral describes it as "partial 16S ribosomal RNA". It matches the Rfam family "Bacterial small subunit ribosomal RNA", at positions 29 to 507 of the family's 1533-position model. The record is from RNAcentral.